Molecule: transfer RNA, 97 nt
Filed under: Micromonospora sediminimaris
Lineage: Bacteria; Bacillati; Actinomycetota; Actinomycetes; Micromonosporales; Micromonosporaceae
Description: tRNA-Arg
Source: RNAcentral
GGCCGGCACCGGCGCGGCUCCGGUCGAUGCCGGCACAGCUUCGGACUGCGCCGGGGCGGUCCGCUCAGCCGCCUCCGUCCCAGUCGGCUGCCGGCCG